GCAUAUCAAUAAGCGGAGGAAAAAGAAACCAACAGGGAUUGCCCCAGUAACGGCGAAGUGAAGCGGCAACAGCUCAAAUUUGAAAUCUGGCCUCGGCCCGAGUUUGUAAUUUGCAGAGGAUGCUUCUGGCGCGGCGCCUUCCGAGUUCCCUGGAACGGGACGCCACAGAGGGUGAGAGCCCCGUAUGGUCGGACGCCAAGCCAGUGUGAAGCUCCUUCGAAGAGUCGAGUAGUUUGGGAAUGCUGCUCUAAGCGGGAGGUAUACGUCUUCUAAAGCUAAAUACCGGCCAGAGACCGAUAGCGCACAAGUAGAGUGAUCGAAAGAUGAAAAGCACCUUGAAAAGGGGGUUAAACAGUACGUGAAAUUGUUGAAAGGGAAGCGCCUGUGACCAGACUUGCGCCGGGCGGAUCAUCCAGCGUUCUCGCUGGUGCGCUCCGCCCGGCUCAGGCCAGCAUCGGUUCUGGCGGGGGGAUAAAGGCGGCGGGAACGUGGCUCCCCCGGGAGUGUUAUAGCCCGCCGUGCAAUGCCCCCGCUGGGACCGAGGUUCGCGCAUCUGCAAGGAUGCUGGCGUAAUGGUCACCAGCGACCCGUCUUGAAACACGGACCAAGGAGUCGUCCAUUACGGCGAGCGUUUGGGUGUAAAACCCCUGCGCGGAAUGAAAGUAAACGUAGGUGAGAGCUUCGGCGCAUCAUCGACCGAUCCUGAUGUACUCGGAUGGAUUUGAGUAAGAGUCGUACCGGACGGACCCGAAAGAUGGUGAACUAUGCCUGUAUAGGGUGAAGCCAGAGGAAAACUCUGGUGGAGGCUCGCAGCGGUUUCUGACGUGCAAAUCGAUCGUCAAAUAAUGGGCAUGGGGGGCGAAAGACUAAUCGAACCAUCUAGUAGCUGGUUACCGCCGA
This 900-nucleotide ribosomal RNA is filed under the name Pleurostoma richardsiae. RNAcentral describes it as "LSU rRNA". It matches the Rfam family "Eukaryotic large subunit ribosomal RNA", at positions 38 to 964 of the family's 3401-position model. The record is from RNAcentral. Lineage: Eukaryota; Fungi; Ascomycota; Sordariomycetes; Calosphaeriales; Pleurostomataceae.